Molecule: long non-coding RNA, 1498 nt
Filed under: Chelonoidis abingdonii (Abingdon island giant tortoise)
Lineage: Eukaryota; Metazoa; Chordata; Testudines; Testudinidae
Description: lncRNA (ENSCABG00000014297.1)
Source: RNAcentral
AUGUCCUUUCAGCAGGGGACAAUCCCAUCAGAGGUGAAAACGGCAAUUAGCAAAAACUUCUUUGAAAUAUGGAAAAAACAUUUUGGUCGUAUAUCAAUGUUGGUAUACUCACUUGUUUUGGUAGUGCUUGAAAAGAUAUUGGAAUCUGAUUUUAAAUGCCCAGAAGAGCUGCACUUGAGACAUUCGUACACCAUCUUACUUUUCAUUAUGCCAGCAGUACUUUUUUUUAUAUUAGGCAUGAUUUUGCAGACAGAGUUUCUACGUCCUUCUCAUAAAGAAAACGAAUUCUACUACUUUUACAGCAAAUGCAAAAGUGACAACAAACACAAAAGUGACUCCACAGAUAAGCACAAGUUUCGUAGCUGUUGGGGUGUUUUUUUAAAGGCUUCUUUUCCUGCUGUCUUGUGGAUAGUGAUCCUUCUUCUGGAUGGAAGAUAUGUUGACUGCCUCAGUAAGAACAUCACAGAGUAUCAGAUUUUCCAGGUAUUCUGCCGGUGAUUUGAGUGAACAUAGACCAUCAGGGAAGAAGAGAAUAGAGAGAGGAAGAAGAAGAAGAUCUGAAUGUGUUAAUAUAAUCUCCUCACUUUGGUUUUCAAUAAGAUGGACCCAGGAGCAAAAUCCAGAUCCCAGUUUCCCAGAAUUCGAACUAGAGAUUUUAAUUCAUCCCCUUAUCAUGGAGGACAGCAAUGUCUCCAAGUUGCACUGAGACAUGGAGUUAAGUGAGGAUUGUUAAGACAAGCUAACUGCCAUGUUCAAUUAAACAGAUAUUUUAAUAUAGAUCUGAGGUUUUCAUGGAGAGAGGGCUGCAAGGAUGUUUCAAUCUGGAAUGUGGAGGUUCAAAACAAGCAAAUGUUUUGACACGUCCAGGAAUCAGGACAUUGGGUUCUGGCUGAUCUGCUGACAUAAAGUAGCCAGAAAACACCUAAUCAGUUCCACACUUAAUUUCUAUAACUAGAGUGGAACAGUCAGAUAUACCAGUGAGACUUGCCCAUGGUCCUAGAAACCAAACUCGGCUAAGAUAUCAUAAGGAACUAGUGAGUUGGGAUCCCAACUUUAAUACCUUAAAUGUGCUUGAUUUCCAGAGGCCAGGUUCCGAGAACUUUCAAAAAUCCAGUAUCUAUCUAUCUAUCUAUCACAUUUACACAAAUGCAUGUUUAUUUCAUAAGUGCUCCACAGAGGUCCAGCUUUUUAGAAUAUAAAUUGCCCCUUAAGUGAAUUGCCCAGCUUAAUCUGAGAAUAUCUGUACCAGACUCUUGCAGUCUUCAUCAGCCCCUUCUCUUUCUUCAUUACAAAGAAAGUUUGGAGAGUUUGAGACUGGAGAAAAUCACUCUUGGCAAGUUAAAUUUUACCAUGCCAGAAGCCAACUCUACACUUAAUGAGCCCAAGAGGUCCACUUUGCAGUCUCAACUUCCUGAGAAGUUAGCUGUUUUCAUUUCAUUUAGAACAAUUAUUUCUCCAUGAGAUGUACUAGCUGUGUAUAUAUCCUCAGUGUUCCAGU